This 68-nucleotide transfer RNA is filed under the name Marmota monax (woodchuck). RNAcentral describes it as "tRNA.Thr". Lineage: Eukaryota; Metazoa; Chordata; Mammalia; Rodentia; Sciuridae. The record is from RNAcentral.
GGAUUGUGGCUCAGAGGUAGAGUGCUUGCCUAGUGCAGAUGAGACACUGGGUUCGAUCCUCAGCACCA